GAGUUCGUAGCUCAGCUGGUUAGAGCGCUACGUUGACAUCGUAGAGGUCCCCAGUUCGAAUCUGGGCGAACUCA
Molecule: transfer RNA, 74 nt
Filed under: Candidatus Moraniibacteriota bacterium
Lineage: Bacteria; Candidatus Moraniibacteriota
Description: tRNA-Val
Rfam family: tRNA
About the family: Transfer RNA (tRNA) molecules are approximately 80 nucleotides in length. Their secondary structure includes four short double-helical elements and three loops (D, anti-codon, and T loops).
Source: RNAcentral